Long non-coding RNA from Rhea pennata, 3489 nucleotides. RefSeq lists it as uncharacterized. The transcript is spliced from 3 exons. The record is from RefSeq and is a predicted model, not a curated record. Lineage: Eukaryota; Metazoa; Chordata; Aves; Rheiformes; Rheidae.
GUUCCGUUUGACAACUGAAAAAGAAAUGUCAAAGAAUGGGAUGCCAAGAGAAGCUCAUCAAAAAGACAUCUGGUCCUGCUGUCCUCAAUAGGAAAUUCCCCCCUUCCUCUAGCCACCCUUUUCCCAGCCACAAUCUUUUGAAACAGUUAGUUAAUGUCUGAGAGAAUCCAAAAUAUUGCUGGAAUGUAUCAGCAAUGAAGCUUUUGUAUAGCUGAGCAGCUAAACAGCUCUGGUUUUGUUUGCGUUAGGGCUGAUUAUCUUGCCUUUCAUUGGUGAAAGUCAGAAGUAGCUGGACAGCAGUCAGUGGAACAAUACCAGCACAAGGCCAGUUUAAGCUGUAAAAGAAUGUGUCCCUCUCUUUUACAUGAAGCACUUCACAAGGAAGCAAUAAGACUUCAAAAAGAACAGCAUAGGAUGCUUGCUAAUCUUCUGAAAUGAAGAAUGCAUGUCCUGUUUUCCAACAAAGUUCUCAUCCUUCUUCUACUGAGAGCUGCCUACCUUUCCCUGCAACAACCAUGCUACCAUAGACAGUGACCCAUCUGCUGCUCUGCUUCUUCUAACCCUUUCUUCAUUGACUUAGCCCUGGCAGGCUCCCAGGUCCUUCCUGGAAUCAGAGAAUAGUUUGGUCUUCUAUAAAGCACUAGUUAUCUCUGGGGAAAAAGUUUCAUUACCGUUCAUGCUCCUGAAUGGGUAGCCUGGGAUUCUUAGAACUGUUCUGCAGUAAGUCACAUGGCAAUGUAAUUUAUUACAGCUUGUUUCAUAAAACUGUGUUCCAGGAGUCUGGGUGGCUAAGGGUUUUGUAAUGAGGUGUAGAGUCUCUAAUCAUGUGAAUCAAGACAAAGUUAGCAGAGUCCAGCAGAGCUAUUCAGAACUCCCCGAGGAGUAAGUGGAAGCCUCAGUUCAAUUCCCCAGCACCAACUAUCCCCUCAACCUGCCAAAAAGAAAUUCCAGAACACAGGCAGGAUUCAGUGGAUCAGGGUCAAAGACAUUGAUGGGAGCCCCAUAAAUGUACUGAAUGUCUUGUCUGUGUCAGCUCUUUGCUCCUGACUAGAUGGGGGAUCAAGGAGGACCAUCAACAAGACAACUGAGCUUGCAGUUGUUGAAAGUGGCAGUCCCUCUUACUUAGUCAUGGUUGUGUGGUUCCAUCUGCUUGCCUGGACCUGCUGUAAUGCUCAUAUAGUCUCUUUCUUCCUUUCAGAUGUAGAUGCUUACCAUUUACCUGGUACUAGUGCCAGGUUUGUGAGGCAACUCGGUUUUCUAGCCUGAGAGAAGAAUCUGCCAUUUUAGUUUUCCAGCACUUCAGCAUGAAAGCUGAUCCAAGAAUUUUGAAAAUGAUACAAGGAAGGAAUCAUGUAGCCAUAAGCAGGGGGAGGAGAGGAAAAGAGAUCUCUGCCUUUCAGAUAUAGCAACGUUGUUAUGUUUGCUCAGCUCUCCGUAGAUCCAGAGUUUUGGUUGCUGUUCAGAAGGAUCUGAAUAUAGACGAAAGUAACAGUACAACAUCUCUCUGUUUGGCAGAAGUCCUGUGUAGAGCCCCUGUACUAGAAGGGAAUUGUCCCCCUGCUCAGAUUAUGCCAGCAUUUCAGCCUGGCACUGCAGCCAGGGAGACCAAAGCGACGAUCAGGACAUUGCUGUUAGCUUCUCUGUUUCUUAGUGUUUCACAGAACACACCUCAGCUCAAAUCUCCACUCAGAACUGCUACAAAACCUACCUCCACUCAUACCUCUCACAUUAAUUGGUCUGAAAUAGUUUUAUGCCUGCUUGAACACUACUAUCCACAGGGAUGUUACACCCUUAUCUAAAUAAGUACCAGAGCUGGCAUUUCAAAGAACAGUGGGGUGCAGACACUGUUGAUCCGAGCACUUCUCACUGGCAGCCCUCGUCUGCAGAAUCACAAACCACCGUCUUCCUCCAUCUCUCCUCCAGGUGCCUGCACACACAGCCACAGUAUUUUGGUAUGGCUCUGCAUCUUUCAGAAACUUAACCAGGACAAAUUAAUUUCACAACUGGCUGAACUUGGUCUUGCUGAAGAAAUUCCUGAACAGCUUUGAUAAGGACUUGGGGAAGAGGGAAAGGAAAGCCUUGUGAAAGAACAGAUUUCCUUGAAGUGCGGUGGAAAUGUCUCCGUUUUGUUCCAUUAUUCCAAAUUUGGAAUAUUAUUCCAUUUGGAAUAUUUUCUAUGAGGAAGUGGCAGCUUGCAGGUGCCAAAGUCACUGAAGACUGACAUCUGCUUGCUGGAUCUGAUAGUUCAGAAAUGUGGAUUGCCUGUCUUAUGUGGUAGUUAUGAAUUGACCACUGGCUAGGUGAAAGUCACUUUCUGGUUCCAGCUGGUACACAGAUUCUCUCUGAAGUGUCACCCCCUGUCAAGCACAGCCUCAGAGGAUGGUGAGCAGAAGGGGCACAUGGGGACCUGGUGGGUGGCAGAGCAAUGCCAUUCCAGCUGGGCUGCUCUCUGCAGCUGAACAAACAUGCCACUUUCUUCCCCUCUGUGCUGAGGGAGCCUGCUUAUUGCAAUUUUUGGAAAAUGUGAAGAGGGCCAUAUGAUGCAAGCUUGAUUUCUUCUACACACACUUGUAUUUCCCAUGGCUGCCUUAGACCACAGGUGUGAAUAGUCUGUGUGUUGACAGGUCCAGAAAUUAGGAUAUAUGGAUUCUGUGGAGCUCUUGUUUGGCUUUGUCUAACUAACUCUCCUCAUCUUCCUGACUCCAUGACCCAGCUAUUGCACAAAAAUGAUGAUACUCCCCCGCUCUGUCUCACUCAGCUGGAUAUGUGGAAAUUAGCAUUUGUGAGUACUUCAGGCCCUGUAGAUGUGGGCGGAUGGCCAAGAGCUUGACUUGCAGAGCAAAGUCAAUGUGCAAGGGAUUGUGUAGUUUGGAAAAUCCACUCAUCUGCCUUACAGUGUGAGGAGCUGUCUGCAAGAAGAGGCUCAUUUCCAUCGCACCCAGGCCACACCACCCAGCCUUUACCUUCUUCCUCUCCUCUCUUAAAACCCCAAGCCAGGCCCAAGCUCCCUUUUACCCAGACUUCAAAGUCUACUAGUCCCUUGAGGAUUAAGGCAGUCGGAUGAGGAAGAACCUCAAAACAACGUGACCUCAAUGGAACCUCAUCCUUCAGUGGAAGGAGGAUUAGAGCCUCCCAGGGAGAGCCAGUGGCUACAGAAGAUGGCGAAUAUGCUCUAGUGCAUGAUGCAGAGUUGAUUUCUGAUUCCUUGUUUUUCAGCUCUUGGGGAUGUAACUUGUAUUUCUUCUCACAGGAACAGUGAAACUGCCCUUCUAGAUCAGAUUCCUAGCGCAUCCUCUUGCUACAAAGAUCCUGUAUGGACAUAUGUACGUAUGGCUUCCCUGUCCUCACAGGCUUAACGUUAAUUCCUAAGAACCUUCUUUAAAAUCUGUUUUCUUCUCCUCUAUAAUUUUUGUAUGCAUAAACUAUUGCAACUUUAGACAUUCCUAUUACUGAUAUAAAUAUUAAAUUCCUCCUGUAAUAUCUCCAAAA